Molecule: ribosomal RNA, 238 nt
Filed under: uncultured bacterium
Lineage: Bacteria
Description: partial 16S ribosomal RNA
Rfam family: Bacterial small subunit ribosomal RNA
Source: RNAcentral
CGGCGGACGGGUGAGUAACGCGUGGGUAACCUGCCUUACACUGGGGGAUAACAGUUAGAAAUGACUGCUAAUACCGCAUAAGCGCACAGGGCUGCAUGGCCUGGUGUGAAAAACUCCGGUGGUGUAAGAUGGACCCGCGUCUGAUUAGGUAGUUGGUGGGGUAACGGCCCACCAAGCCGACGAUCAGUAGCCGACCUGAGAGGGUGACCGGCCACAUUGAGACUGAGACACGGCCCAA